ACAACCUGGCAAACUCUGUGCCUUCUCACCCUUUCCUGGCCCCUUAGGAGUGCCUGGAAGCUGCCAGCCAGCAAAACCAGCCCCUACAGGCCCAGUUGAGCCUCAUGGCUCUCCCUGGGGAAGGAGAUGGAGGAGGACAUCUGGACAGUGAGGAGGAGGAGGCACCUCGGCCCAUGCCGAGCAACCCGGAGGACCUGGAGAGCUGGGAGGCCACGGUGAGUCUGACUCCCCCUGCACCCAUUUUGCCACCUUCCUCUGUGGUCCCUCCAAGACCCCUUUAUGCUCUUGGUUUCCCUGCCUUCUGAUUUCUCUGGACCCUCACCCCUUCCGGGAGCCAGUGGUCAGACACCAUUUCACCUGUGACCAACAGAUGCACUCUCUGAGACCCCAAGGGAAGGGGCUGCACUCCACCUCUCUGCCCUGUUUGUUCUGUGUAUGCCUCUACAAUAAUGCUCACCUCUUGCCCUCAGGUUGCAUUUUUCAACUCCGCUGGAGCCAAUGCCCAGGAGGAGCAGGCAUGGUUACAAGAGCAGGUGAAAGAGCAGAGGGUGUGCUGCCAGCGCAUGGCUCACCUGGUGGCCUCAGUCCAGAAGGAGCCAGAGGCAGCGGUCCCAGCCCCAGUGACUGGGGGCGACUCUGUGAGUGGGGAGACCCACCAGGCU
RNAcentral lists this long non-coding RNA (662 nucleotides) under Pan troglodytes (chimpanzee). RNAcentral describes it as "long non-coding RNA NONPTRT005821". The record is from RNAcentral. Lineage: Eukaryota; Metazoa; Chordata; Mammalia; Primates; Hominidae.